GUUAUCACGGGAGACACACGGCGGGUGCUAACGUCCGUCGUGAAGAGGGAAACAACCCAGACCGCCAGCUAAGGUCCCAAAGUCAUGGUUAAGUGGGAAACGAUGUGGGAAGGCCCAGACAGCCAGGAUGUUGGCUUAGAAGCAGCCAUCAUUUAAAGAAAGCGUAAUAGCUCACUGGUCGAGUCGGCCUGCGCGGAAGAUGUAACGGGGCUAAACCAUGCACCGAAGCUGCGGCAGCGACGCUGAUGCGUUGUUGGGUAGGGGAGCGUUCUGUAAGCCUGCGAAGGUGUGCUGUGAGGCAUGCUGGAGGUAUCAGAAGUGCGAAUGCUGACAUAAGUAACGAUAAAGCGGGUGAAAAGCCCGCUCGCCGGAAGACCAAGGGUUCCUGUCCAACGUUAAUCGGGGCAGGGUGAGUCGACCCCUAAGGCGAGGCCGAAAGGCGUAGUCGAUGGGAAACAGGUUAAUAUUCCUGUACUUGGUGUUACUGCGAAGGGGGGACGGAGAAGGCUAUGUUGGCCGGGCGACGGUUGUCCCGGUUUAAGCGUGUAGGCUGGUUUUCCAGGCAAAUCCGGAAAAUCAAGGCUGAGGCGUGAUGACGAGGCACUACGGUGCUGAAGCAACAAAUGCCCUGCUUCCAGGAAAAGCCUCUAAGCAUCAGGUAACAUCAAAUCGUACCCCAAACCGACACAGGUGGUCAGGUAGAGAAUACCAAGGCGCUUGAGAGAACUCGGGUGAAGGAACUAGGCAAAAUGGUGCCGUAACUUCGGGAGAA
Molecule: ribosomal RNA, 772 nt
Filed under: Escherichia coli
Lineage: Bacteria; Pseudomonadati; Pseudomonadota; Gammaproteobacteria; Enterobacterales; Enterobacteriaceae
Description: partial 23S ribosomal RNA
Rfam family: Bacterial large subunit ribosomal RNA
Source: RNAcentral